This 514-nucleotide ribosomal RNA is filed under the name Alternaria alternata. RNAcentral describes it as "eukaryotic LSU rRNA". The stretch from base 145 to 298 matches the Rfam family "5.8S ribosomal RNA". Lineage: Eukaryota; Fungi; Ascomycota; Dothideomycetes; Pleosporales; Pleosporaceae. The record is from RNAcentral.
UCAAAUCUCGGGGUUACAGCCUUGCUGAAUUAUUCACCCUUGUCUUUUGCGUACUUCUUGUUUCCUUGGUGGGUUCGCCCACCACUAGGACAAACAUAAACCUUUUGUAAUUGCAAUCAGCGUCAGUAACAAAUUAAUAAUUACAACUUUCAACAACGGAUCUCUUGGUUCUGGCAUCGAUGAAGAACGCAGCGAAAUGCGAUAAGUAGUGUGAAUUGCAGAAUUCAGUGAAUCAUCGAAUCUUUGAACGCACAUUGCGCCCUUUGGUAUUCCAAAGGGCAUGCCUGUUCGAGCGUCAUUUGUACCCUCAAGCUUUGCUUGGUGUUGGGCGUCUUGUCUCUAGCUUUGCUGGAGACUCGCCUUAAAGUAAUUGGCAGCCGGCCUACUGGUUUCGGAGCGCAGCACAAGUCGCACUCUCUAUCAGCAAAGGUCUAGCAUCCAUUAAGCCUUUUUUUCAACUUUUGACCUCGGAUCAGGUAGGGAUACCCGCUGAACUUAAGCAUAUCAAUAAAGC